This 406-nucleotide ribosomal RNA is filed under the name uncultured bacterium. Its description in RNAcentral is "partial 16S ribosomal RNA". It matches the Rfam family "Bacterial small subunit ribosomal RNA", at positions 30 to 526 of the family's 1533-position model. The record is from RNAcentral.
AUUGAACGCUGGCGGCAGGCCUAAUACAUGCAAGUAGAACGAGUGGCGGACGGGUGAGUAAUGUAUGGGAAACUGCCUGAUGGAGGGGGAUAAUUACUGGAAACGGUAGCUAAUACGGCUUACCAUCAGAUGGGCCCAGACGGGAUUGGCUUUUUGGUGGGGUAACGGCUCACCAGGGCGACGAUCCCUAGCCGGUCUGAGAGGAUAACCAGCAACCCUGGACCUGGACCACGGUCCAGACUCCUACGGGGGGCAGAGGUGGGAAAUAUUGCACAAGGGGCGCAGGCCUGAUGCAGACAUGCGGCGUAUAUAAAGAAGGCCUUCGGGUUGUAAUGUACUUUCAGCGGGGAGGCGUUACCCGCAGAGGAAGCACCGGCUAACUCCGUGCCAGCAGCCGCGGUAAUAC